GUGCAGCUGGCGAGAAUUUUUCUCAAUGGGGGCAACCCUGAAGGAGCGACGCCGCGUGGAGGAUGAAGGCUUUCGGGUUGUAAACUCCUGUCAUUUGAGAACAAGUGUUAGCAAGUAACUACUGCUAGCUUGAUAGUAUCAGAAGAGGAAGGGACGGCUAACUCUGUGCCAGCAGCCGCGGUAAUACAGAGGUCCCAAGCGUUGUUCGGAUUCAUUGGGCGUAAAGGGUGCGUAGGUGGCGCGCUAAGUCAGGUGUGAAAUCUCGGGGCUUAACUCCGAAACUGCAUUUGAUACUGGCGUGCUUGAGGACUGGAGAGGAGACUGGAAUUCAUGGUGUAGCAGUGAAAUGCGUAGAGAUCAUGAGGAAGACCAGUGGCGAGGGCGGGUCUCUGGACAGUUCCUGACACUGAGGCACGAAGGCCAGGGGAGCAAACGGGAUUAGAUACCCCGGUAGU
This 455-nucleotide ribosomal RNA is filed under the name uncultured organism. RNAcentral describes it as "bacterial SSU rRNA". It matches the Rfam family "Bacterial small subunit ribosomal RNA", at positions 346 to 794 of the family's 1533-position model. The record is from RNAcentral.